AAUGAUCUACACGUACAAAGUUUCGGGUCGGGUGUUAUCCAAAUGCAGCAUGCUACUGGUACUGGUAAUAUUUAUCACGUCACUCGCUUUCAGGUCUACUAACCCGAAGGUAGCUUUUUUCACCUUUUAAAUGGUAAUAAAAGAUGAGAACUUGUUUUAGUAGAGCUUCAGUUGUUCACACGUUCCGCCAUUGCUAAAAGGAUCGUGAAUUAGUGGUUCGUCUCUUCUCUAGUGUAGGGCCCCAUGCGUUUUUCAUGAAUCAUCUACGUCUACUCACUCUCUUUCCCAUCAAGAAAUUGCAUACAAAAUAUAGUAGAUCAGCGUUUUUAUUUUA
Coffea eugenioides is the source of this 334-nucleotide long non-coding RNA. RefSeq lists it as uncharacterized. The record is from RefSeq and is a predicted model, not a curated record. Lineage: Eukaryota; Viridiplantae; Streptophyta; Magnoliopsida; Gentianales; Rubiaceae. The transcript is spliced from 2 exons.